RNAcentral lists this non-coding RNA (148 nucleotides) under Gorilla gorilla gorilla (western lowland gorilla). The record is from Rfam by way of RNAcentral. Lineage: Eukaryota; Metazoa; Chordata; Mammalia; Primates; Hominidae.
GCUGGGCAUGGUGGCGAAUGCCUGUAAUCCCAGCUACCUGGGAGGUUGAGGCAGGAGAAUCGCUUGAACCCAGGAGAUGGAGGGUGCAGUGAACCCUGAUCACGCCACUGCACUCCAGCCUGGGUGACAGGGUGAGACUCCGUCUCAA